RNAcentral lists this ribosomal RNA (497 nucleotides) under uncultured bacterium. RNAcentral's name for it is "partial 16S ribosomal RNA". It matches the Rfam family "Bacterial small subunit ribosomal RNA", at positions 28 to 507 of the family's 1533-position model. The record is from RNAcentral.
GAUGAACGCUGGCGGCGUGCCUUAUACAUGCAAGUCGAGCGGAAGCGCGGGAAUCGGCCUGCCGGCGAGUGGCGGGCGGGCGAGUGAUGAAUCCGAAGGUAACCAGUCGUGAGGGAUGGGACGACGUCGGGAGAAUUGAUCCAACAUCCGAUCUGAUUGUGAAACCGGGGGUCCGAAAGUCAAAGAGCUAUUUGCGCGGCCGUUUUCAGAUUUGCUCGCUGGAUUAGCUAGUUGGUAAGGUAACGGCUUACCAAGGCAACGAUGCAUAGCCGACCUGAGAGGGUGAUCGGCCACACUGGAACUGAGACACGGUCCAGACUCCUACGGGAGGCAGCAGUAGGGAAUCUUGCGCAAUGGGCGAAAGCCUGACGGAGCAACGCCGCGUGAGUGAUGAAGGUCUUCGGAUCGUAAAACUCUGUUAUUAGGGAAGAACAUAUGUGUAAGUAGAUGUGCACAUCUUGACGGUACCUAAUCAGAAAGCAACGGCUAACUACGUG